This 301-nucleotide ribosomal RNA is filed under the name uncultured bacterium. RNAcentral's name for it is "partial 16S ribosomal RNA". It matches the Rfam family "Bacterial small subunit ribosomal RNA", at positions 509 to 807 of the family's 1533-position model. The record is from RNAcentral.
CAGUAGCCACGGUAAUACGAAGGGGGCUAGCGUUGCUCGGAAUCACUGGGCGUAAAGGGUGCGUAGGCGGGUUUUUAAGUCAGAGGUGAAAUCCUGGAGCUCAACUCCAGAACUGCCUUUGAUACUGAAAGUCUUGAGUAUGGGAGAGGUGAGUGGAACUGCGAGUGUAGAGGUGAAAUUCGUAGAUAUUCGCAAGAACACCAGUGGCGAAGGCGGCUCACUGGCCCAUAACUGACGCUGAGGCACGAAAGCGUGGGGAGCAAACAGGAUUAGAUACCCGCGUAGUCCCUGUCUCUUAUAC